This 478-nucleotide ribosomal RNA is filed under the name uncultured bacterium. RNAcentral describes it as "partial 16S ribosomal RNA". It matches the Rfam family "Bacterial small subunit ribosomal RNA", at positions 28 to 507 of the family's 1533-position model. The record is from RNAcentral.
GAUGAACGCUGGCGGCGUGCUUAACACAUGCAAGUCGAACGGGAAUUAUUUUAUUGAAACUUCGGUCGAUUUAAUUUAAUUCUAGUGGCGGACGGGUGAGUAACGCGUGGGUAACCUGCCUUAUACAGUGGGAUAACAGUCAGAAAUGGCUGCUAAUACCGCAUAAGCGCACAGAGCUGCAUGGCUCAGUGUGAAAAACUCCGGUGGUAUAAGAUGGACCCGCGUUGGAUUAGCUGGUUGGUGGGGUAACGGCCCACCAAGGCGACGAUCCAUAGCCGGCCUGAGAGGGUGAACGGCCACAUUGGGACUGAGACACGGCCCAGACUCCUACGGGAGGCAGCAGUGGGGAAUAUUGCACAAUGGGGGAAACCCUGAUGCAGCGACGCCGCGUGAAGGAAGAAGUAUCUCGGUAUGUAAACUUCUAUCAGCAGGGAAGAUAGUGACGGUACCUGACUAAGAAGCCCCGGCUAACUACGUG